RNAcentral lists this ribosomal RNA (253 nucleotides) under uncultured bacterium. RNAcentral's name for it is "partial 16S ribosomal RNA". It matches the Rfam family "Bacterial small subunit ribosomal RNA", at positions 524 to 776 of the family's 1533-position model. The record is from RNAcentral.
UACGAAGGGGGCUAGCGUUGCUCGGAAUCACUGGGCGUAAAGCGCACGUAGGCGGCUUCUUAAGUCAGGGGUGAAAUCCUGGAGCUCAACUCCAGAACUGCCUUUGAUACUGAGAGGCUCGAGUCCGGGAGAGGUGAGUGGAACUCCGAGUGUAGAGGUGAAAUUCGUAGAUAUUCGCAAGAACACCAGUGGCGAAGGCGGCUCACUGGCCCGGUACUGACGCUGAGGCACGAAAGCGUGGGGAGCAAACAGG